CCCUUAGAUGUUCUGGGCCGCACGCGCGCUACACUGAUGCAUUCAACGAGUCUAAAACCUGCUCUGAUAGGGGUGGGUAAUCUUUUGAAUGUGCAUCGUGAUUGGGAUAGAUGAUUGCAAUUUUUCAUCUUCAACGAGGAAUGCCUAGUAAACGCAAGUCAUCAGCUUGCAUUGAUUACGUCCCUGCCCUUUGUACACACCGCCCGUCGCUCCUACCGAUUGAGUGGUCCGGUGAGGCUUUGGGAUCUGAGCGGAAAGAGCGUUUCGCUGUUUCUGCUCGGAAAACUCAGUCGAACCUUAUCAUUUAGAGGAAGGAGAAGUCGUAACA
RNAcentral lists this ribosomal RNA (328 nucleotides) under uncultured eukaryote. Its description in RNAcentral is "partial 18S ribosomal RNA". It matches the Rfam family "Eukaryotic small subunit ribosomal RNA", at positions 1470 to 1796 of the family's 1831-position model. The record is from RNAcentral.